This 116-nucleotide ribosomal RNA is filed under the name Colletotrichum orbiculare MAFF 240422. The record is from RNAcentral. Lineage: Eukaryota; Fungi; Ascomycota; Sordariomycetes; Glomerellales; Glomerellaceae.
ACGACCAUACCCACUGGAAAACUCGGGAUCCCGUCCGCUCUCCCAUAGAUAAGCCAGUGAGGGCCGGAUUAGUAGUUGGGUCGGUGACGACCAGCGAAUACCUGGUGUUGUAUGUG